RNAcentral lists this ribosomal RNA (454 nucleotides) under uncultured bacterium. RNAcentral's name for it is "bacterial SSU rRNA". It matches the Rfam family "Bacterial small subunit ribosomal RNA", at positions 1 to 507 of the family's 1533-position model. The record is from RNAcentral.
ACGAGUUUGAUCAUGGCUCAGAACGAACGCUGGCGGCAGGCUUAACACAUGCAAGUCGAGCGCCCCGCGAAGGGGAGCGGCAGACGGGUGAGUAACACGUGGGAACCUACCCUUUUCUACGGAAUAACGCAUGGAAACGUGUGCUAAUACCGUAUACGCCCGUUCGGGGGAAAGAUUUAUCGGAGAAGGAUGGGCCCGCGUUGGAUUAGCUAGUUGGUGGGGUAAAGGCCUACCAAGGCGACGAUCCAUAGCUGGUCUGAGAGGAUGAUCAGCCACAUUGGGACUGAGACACGGCCCAAACUCCUACGGGAGGCAGCAGUGGGGAAUAUUGGACAAUGGGCGCAAGCCUGAUCCAGCCAUGCCGCGUGAGUGAUGAAGGCCUUAGGGUUGUAAAGCUCUUUCACCGGAGAAGAUAAUGACGGUAUCCGGAGAAGAAGCCCCGGCUAACUUCGUG